RNAcentral lists this ribosomal RNA (800 nucleotides) under Acinetobacter calcoaceticus. Its description in RNAcentral is "bacterial SSU rRNA". It matches the Rfam family "Bacterial small subunit ribosomal RNA", at positions 56 to 851 of the family's 1533-position model. Lineage: Bacteria; Pseudomonadati; Pseudomonadota; Gammaproteobacteria; Moraxellales; Moraxellaceae. The record is from RNAcentral.
UGCAGUCGAGCGGGGAAAGGUAGCUUGCUACUGGACCUAGCGGCGGACGGGUGAGUAAUGCUUAGGAAUCUGCCUAUUGGUGGGGGACAACAUCUCGAACGGGAUGCUAAUACCGCAUACGUCCUACGGGAGAAAGCAGGGGAUCUUCGGACCUUGCGCUAAUAUGUGAGCCUAAGUCGGAUUAGCUAGGUGGUGGGGUAAAGGCCUACCAAGGCGACGAUCUGUAGCGGGUCUGAGAGGAUGAUCCGCCACACUGGGACUGAGACACAGCCCAGACUCCUACGGGAGGCAGCGGUGGGGAAUAUUGGACAAUGGGCGCAAGCCUGAUCCAGCCAUGCCGCGUGUGUGAAGAAGGCCUUAUGGGUGUAAAGCACUUUAAGCGAGGAGGAGGCUACUUUAGAUAAUACCUAGAGAUAGUGGACGUUACUCGCAGAAUAAACACCGGCUAACUCUGUGCCAGCAGCCGCGGUAAUACAGAGGGUGCAAGCGUUAAUCGGAUUUACUGGGCGUAAAGCGCGCGUAGGCGGCUAAUUAAGUCAAAUGUGAAAUCCCCGAGCUUAACUUGGGAAUUGCAUUCAAUACUGGUUAGCUAGAGUGUGGGAGAGGAUGGUAGAAUUCCAGGUGUAGCGGUGAAAUGCGUAGAGAUCUGGAGGAAUACCGAUGGCGAAAGCAGCCAUCUGGUCUAACACUGACGCUGAGGUGCGAAAGCAUGGGGAGCAAACAGGAUUAGAUACCCUGGUAGUCCAUGCCGUAAACGAUGUCUACUAGCCGUUGGGGCCUUUGAGGCUUUAGUGGCGCAG